Long non-coding RNA from Quercus robur (English oak), 783 nucleotides. RefSeq lists it as uncharacterized. The transcript has 3 exons. The record is from RefSeq and is a predicted model, not a curated record. NCBI's taxonomy places the organism in Eukaryota, Viridiplantae, Streptophyta, Magnoliopsida, Fagales, Fagaceae.
AAUUUUCCACAUCUCUUAUCUUCUUUUGUGCCCCAAAAGUCUUCUCACUUUUGUUAUUUUCUUGGCUGCAUCUGAAGUCCAGCAGCUCCUUUUCUUCUUUCUCUAUUCCUCUUUCUUUCUUCUUGUUUCUUUCUUCUCCACUUCUUACAUGGCAGCCUUCUCUCCCUCACCAAAGCAAAAUAUCCCUCUCUAAAGAAGAAAUUAAAGGGUUAACACUAAAAUUUCAGCCUCAAAUUGUUGGGGGUGUUACCAGUAUCCAAGUCUAAGCUCCUUCGAUUGUAGGCUCUCGGCUCCUCUGCUUUCAGUUAGUAGGUUUUAUUUUGGAGCAGAGGGAGCCUUAGUCGAGUUUUGGAAGGAGCUGGUUUUACAUAUUCUCCACAAUUUCUCCCCCUUUUUGUCAGGAUUGACAAAGGGUACAUGAAGCUAUAAAGUUUCAUCCGAGAAACAUAAAGAUGAUCAAGGGGACACAAGAAAUCCAUAUAAAUGCAUGAAUGUAAUGAAACAAGAUGCUAUGGAUAACAAGAUAAUAGAAAGAUGCAAAACACACACAUACACUAAACAAAUCUAACCAAUUUUAUAUUUCAAAAACAAGUUAAGACAGUUUAGUGAGCAUAUAUUAACACAUGUAAACCUUGUGAUGGCCAAUUCACAUUGUACCUACACAUGAAUCAAGAAUAGCAAAGAAUAUUGCGUGUUGUGUGUGAAAAACAUCGCAAGAUUGUAUAAGUGUAUACAUGUUAUAACGAUUUGAGAUAUGAGAAAAUCACUUUAACUCAUACACAA